RNAcentral lists this ribosomal RNA (530 nucleotides) under uncultured bacterium. Its description in RNAcentral is "partial 16S ribosomal RNA". It matches the Rfam family "Bacterial small subunit ribosomal RNA", at positions 28 to 523 of the family's 1533-position model. The record is from RNAcentral.
GACGAACGCUGGCGGCGUGCCUAAUACACGCAAGUCGAACGAACUCUGGUAUUGAUUGGUGCUUGCAUCAUGAUUUACAUUUGAGCGAGUGGCGAACUGGUGAGUAACACGUGGGACACCUGCCCAGAAGCGGGGGAUAACACCUGGAAACAGAUGCUAAUACCGCAUAACAACUUGGACCUCUCGGUCCAAGCUUGAAAGAUGGCUUCUGCUAUCACUUGUGGAGUGUCCCGCGUCGUAUUAGCUAGAUGGUGGGGUAACGGCUCACCAUGGCGAUGAUACGUAGCCGACCUGAGAGGGUAAUCGGCCACAUUGGGACUGAGACACGGCCCAAACUCCUACGGGAGGCAGCAGUAGGGAAUCUUCCACAAUGGACGAAAGUCUGAUGGAGCAACGCCGCGUGAGUGAAGAAGGGUUUCGGCUCGUAAAACUCUGUUGUUAAAGAAGAACAUAUCUGAGAGUAACUGUUCAGGUAUUGACGGUAUUUAACCAGAAAGCCACGGCUAACUACGUGCCAGCCGCCGCGGUAA